Long non-coding RNA from Nicotiana tabacum (common tobacco), 2539 nucleotides. RefSeq lists it as uncharacterized. Lineage: Eukaryota; Viridiplantae; Streptophyta; Magnoliopsida; Solanales; Solanaceae. The record is from RefSeq and is a predicted model, not a curated record.
ACCAUCCAAACAAACCGUAAAAGGUUCAAAUUGUAAAUUUACCGGUGAUGCUCAGUGGACCACGGUAACGCAGAACGCGGUGGAAACCAGCCGGAAUAUCACCGGAACUCUCAUUUUGUACCGCCGAAUUGGCCUUCCGACGAGACUAUCUCUCGUAACGACGACAAUCAUAGAAGAAAAUUUCCCGGCGAUGGCAACCACUUCAAUCGCCGCCAGCAUCACCACCACCACCACAAAACCCUAAUUCCGAGCAGAAUUUCGGUGGUUCACAGCCUCUUUCAGCUCGUAAGAGACCCUACGAUCAAUUAACAUCUGGUACAAAGCAUUAUUCUCCCGCUCCUAAUUAUCAAUUCCCCAAAAAAAUAAAAUCUACUGGUCCUAAUUUGUGUGGCGCAUUUGCUUAUCAAGUGUAAAUUUAGAGACUUGAUUAUUUCAUUUUUUCAUAUCAAAAAUUAAAAUGUCAUAUAUACUGACAGUACUUUCUUUUUCUGUAAGUUUUUUUUGUUGUUGUUGUAAUUGGAACUAACUCUAAUCUAUUUUGUAACUUUGCAUCUUCUCGACGCUUGUAACGAAGAAUCUCAUUUCAUCAAAAAUUAUAUACUGACGGUCCGUGUCGGAGCUGGGAUUUUCACUAAGGGGGUCAAAAUAUUAAGAAGUAAUAAUUUUUUUUACUUAGCUACACAAUGUAGCAUGUUGCUUUGCCGCAACAGUACCUUUUAAGUGCAUGAUUGUGUAAAAAAUCUUACACAAUCAUUAUCGUCUGCUUCUUACAUACAUUUUCCUUUUCAAAAAACAAUGAUCUAGAUUGUUGCUUCACACAUUUGCUAUCUAGUGGCCGAAGCAAACUUUGAACCAUAUUCAGAUACAACGAGAUUGUGUCUUGUGGGUGCAGAUCACUUGAAAUUUCCCCGAACGUAUGCUAGUCGAGAGGCUAUUCAGGUGCUGCUGACUCAAUUUUUUGUGCAUUUUCUAGUCAUACGACGAGAUGUGAAACAUCUUGUGCCACAGCUAGCAUAUGCACUCAUGUAACUGUAUGUGCUACUUGGUUAACACGGGUUUAUCGCUUGACUGAUCAAAUAUUUUUAUGGACAGAGGACUGAGAUUUAUGAAUAGUCGAAGGUGCUGGGGAAUUCUCAAUUUAUUCUCCUUCCUUUUCAACCAUAUAAACUUCUGUAUGCACGCAUGUUAGCUGAAGUUGGAAGGAUAUCGGACGCAUUAAAGUACUGUCAAGCAUUAUCGAAAUCACUUAAAACUGGCCGAACCCCUGAGACUAAAACAUUGAGAACAGAGAAACGGGAUAAGACACCUGUCUUGGAGUUCUUCCAGUGUCAGGCUCUGAAACACUUCUACUGUGCAUUGACAUUCUACCGCUAUCUGCUGCCCAUUCACUUAUUGGCUCCAUAGAUGCUGAGGGCAUCAGUGAUGACAUUGCCAUGGUUGACUGACUACUUGAAACUCUAGACCCCGCAAACUGAUGAUGUUGUUCAUUCCCUUGUAAACUGCCACUAGUUGGCAUUGGUGGUGGCAAUACGAUGAGCCGUGCUAUCAAAAAGGUUAAGCAAUUUACCAACCAAUUUUCCAGGAGCCAAAUUUGUGGAGAACCCUCCCUGAAUGCAGAAAGUUCCACCAUAAGUAACUCUGAGACAAUCAUUCAACAUAGAUGAGAGGAUAAAGAGAUGACACUAACUGUUACAUUUGACUCAAUCUAUCUGAUCUGGUUUGAAAAGAUGAGUUUGUCAUGUAUUUGUGUAGGAUCACGUUGACCCGUCAAAGGAAGCAAGCUCAAGUAACACAGGAAGCAAUGCAUCAGGAGCUGGAGGGACAUCACGCUUUCGCCGCUUUAGCUUUGGCUCCCAGCUUCUCCAGAAAACUAUUGGAUUAGUCCUCAUACCCUGUCAAGGCCGUCAGGUAUAUUAUUUAUUUUUCUCCGCUGUCAUCUUCUAGAUUGUGGUCCUCAUAAAGUUUGAUGCCGAGACUUCUUUCCAUUUGUCUUGAUUCCUUGCAAGCAAAAUUGGGUGAAACGAAUAAAUUUUAUUAUGAUGAAAAACUUAAAAGAUGGGUAGAGGAAGGGGCUGAACUUCCCGCUGAGGAACCGACCCUUGCACCUCCACCAACCAGUGCAGUUUUCCAAAAUGGAGCACCAGAUUAUAACUUGAAGAGUGUAUUAAAAAGUGAAAGUUCCAUAUGCAACAAUGGAUUUCCGGAAAUGAAGAGUCCAACUUCUGCUGAUAACGGUUCGGGAAUCCCACCUCUUCCACCUACGUCCAACCAAUUCUCGGCUCGUAGUCGUGUGGGUGUCCGGUCAAGGCAAGUGAUAUUGUCUUAUUAAUUAUCUUUGGAUGAUAUGUUUGAACCUUUUGUGGCUUAGGCACGACAGCCCUUGUUUGUUUUCUUGGUCUGAUUCUGAAAUAGGAUGUUUAAUUGUUAAGAAUAUACUUGAUAAGCCCUAUGCAUCAAACUAACAUUUUUAGUGUAAUGCCAAGUUUUUUGUUCCCACUCCAAUGUCUCCUGUUGAAGAGACGGGGAACAGUACUUCCAA